RNAcentral lists this ribosomal RNA (465 nucleotides) under uncultured bacterium. RNAcentral describes it as "partial 16S ribosomal RNA". It matches the Rfam family "Bacterial small subunit ribosomal RNA", at positions 338 to 795 of the family's 1533-position model. The record is from RNAcentral.
CCUACGGGAGGCAGCAGUAGGGAAUCUUCCACAAUGGGCGAAAGCCUGAUGGAGCAACGCCGCGUGGGUGAAGAAGGUCUUCGGAUCGUAAAACCCUGUUGUUAGAGAAGAAAGUGCGUGAGAGUAACUGUUCACGUUUCGACGGUAUCUACCCAGAAAGCCACGGCUAACUACUUGCCAGCAGCCGCGGUAAUACGUAGGUGGCAAGCGUUAUCCGGAUUUAUUUGGCGUAAAGGGAACGCAGGCGGUCUUUUAAGUCUGAUGUGAAAGCCUUCGGCUUAACCGGAGUAGUGCAUUGGAAACUGGGAGACUUGAGUGCAGAAGAGGAGAGUGGAACUCCAUGUGUAGCGGUGAAAUGCGUAGAUAUAUGGAAGAACACCAGUGGCGAAUGCGGCUCUCUGGUCUGUAACUGACGCUGAGGUUCGAAAGCGUGGGUAGCAAACAGGAUUAGAUACCCUUGUAGUC